ACUCAAAUGAAUUGACGGGGGCCCGCACAAGCGGUGGAGCAUGUGGUUUAAUUCGACGCAACGCGAAGAACCUUACCUGGGCUCGAACGGCUGCCGACGGCUGGUUGAAAGGCCGGCUUUCCCGCAAGGGACGGUAGUCGAGGUGCUGCAUGGCUGUCGUCAGCUCGUGUCGUGAGAUGUUGGGUUAAGUCCCGCAACGAGCGCAACCCUUGUCCUGUUUUGGCAUGCGUCACGCAAGUGGCGCGCAACUAUCAGGAGACCGCCAGCGAUAAGCUGGAGGAAGGUGGGGAUGACGUCAAGUCAUCAUGGCCUUUAUGUCCAGGGCUACACACGUGCUACAAUGGGCGGUACAAAGCGCUGCCAACCCGCGAGGGGGAGCUAAUCGCAAAAAACCGUCCUCAGUUCGGAUCGCAGGCUGCAACUCGCCUGCGUGAAGCUGGAAUCGCUAGUAAUGGUAUAUCAGAACGAUACCGUGAAUACGUUCCCGGGCCUUGUACACACCGCCCGU
This 508-nucleotide ribosomal RNA is filed under the name uncultured bacterium. RNAcentral describes it as "partial 16S ribosomal RNA". It matches the Rfam family "Bacterial small subunit ribosomal RNA", at positions 899 to 1397 of the family's 1533-position model. The record is from RNAcentral.